GUCAGGAUGGCUGAGGGGGCUAAGGUACCACGUUGAAGGUUUUGUACCUUCUGUGCAAAUGGGACUUCUCGUCUCCAAAUAGAGGCGUGGGUUCGAAUCCCACUCCUGACA
This 111-nucleotide transfer RNA is filed under the name Scleropages formosus (Asian bonytongue). It matches the Rfam family "tRNA". From Rfam's summary of the family: Transfer RNA (tRNA) molecules are approximately 80 nucleotides in length. Their secondary structure includes four short double-helical elements and three loops (D, anti-codon, and T loops). Further hydrogen bonds mediate the characteristic L-shaped molecular structure. tRNAs have two regions of fundamental functional importance: the anti-codon, which is responsible for specific mRNA codon recognition, and the 3' end, to which the tRNAs corresponding amino acid is attached (by aminoacyl-tRNA synthetases). tRNAs cope with the degeneracy of the genetic code in two manners: having more than one tRNA (with a specific anti-codon) for a particular amino acid; and 'wobble' base-pairing, i.e. permitting non-standard base-pairing at the 3rd anti-codon position. Lineage: Eukaryota; Metazoa; Chordata; Actinopteri; Osteoglossiformes; Osteoglossidae. The record is from Rfam by way of RNAcentral.